This 439-nucleotide small RNA is filed under the name Pongo abelii (Sumatran orangutan). RNAcentral's name for it is "processed transcript". The record is from RNAcentral. Lineage: Eukaryota; Metazoa; Chordata; Mammalia; Primates; Hominidae.
GUCAAUGCUGAGGAUCCUCCUAUGGUUGUGGUCCGAAAAUUUGUCCACCUGCUGGACCAAAGUGACCAGGAUUUUCAGGAGGAGCUUGACCUUAUGAAGAUGCGGGAAGAGGUUAUCACCCUCAUUCGUUCUAACCAGCAGCUGGAGAAUGACCUCAAUCUCAUGGAUAUCAAAAUUGGACUGCUAGUGAAAAAUAAGAUUACAUUGCAGGUAUGGCCCAGUGCCAGCGGGGGCCUUGGAACACUUCAUCCUGUUUUGUAACCCCUGCAUUCCCCUUUCUGACUGGUGGGGAGGAUGGAGGCUGACUUUCUUCUCAGCUACUGCCAUAAGAGCUUUUUUUUUUCUUUUGACUGAGUCUCACUCUGUUGCCCAGGUUGCAGUGAGCCAAGAUGGCACCACUGCACUCCGGACUGGGUGACAGAGUGAAACUCUAUCUCCA